AGUGAACGCUGGCGGUAGGCCUAACACAUGCAAGUCGAACGGCAGCACAGUAAGAGCUUGCUCUUACGGGUGGCGAGUGGCGGACGGGUGAGGAAUACAUCGGAAUCUACUUUUUCGUGGGGGAUAACGUAGGGAAACUUACGCUAAUACCGCAUACGACCUACGGGUGAAAGCAGGGGAUCUUCGGACCUUGCGCGAUUGAAUGAGCCGAUGUCGGAUUAGCUAGUUGGCGGGGUAAAGGCCCACCAAGGCGACGAUCCGUAGCUGGUCUGAGAGGAUGAUCAGCCACCCUGGAACGGGAACACGGUCCAGACUCCUACGGGAGGCAGCAGUGGGCAAUAUUGGACAAUGGGGGCAAGCCUGAUCCAGCCAUACCGCGUGGGUGAAGAAGGCCUUCGGGUUGUAAAGCCCUUUUGUUGGGAAAGAAAAGCAGCAGGUUAAUACCCCGCUGUUCUGACGGUACCCAAAGAAUAAGCACCGGCUAACUUCGUG
RNAcentral lists this ribosomal RNA (492 nucleotides) under uncultured bacterium. RNAcentral describes it as "partial 16S ribosomal RNA". It matches the Rfam family "Bacterial small subunit ribosomal RNA", at positions 29 to 507 of the family's 1533-position model. The record is from RNAcentral.